UGGGGAAUUUUGGACAAUGGGCGAAAGCCUGAUCCAGCAAUGCCGCGUGUGUGAAGAAGGCCUUCGGGUUGUAAAGCACUUUUGUCCGGAAAGAAAUCCUUGGCUCUAAUACAGUCGGGGGAUGACGGUACCGGAAGAAUAAGCACCGGCUAACUACGUGCCAGCAGCCGCGGUAAUACGUAGGGUGCAAGCGUUAAUCGGAAUUACUGGGCGUAAAGCGUGCGCAGGCGGUUUGCUAAGACCGAUGUGAAAUCCCCGGGCUCAACCUGGGAACUGCAUUGGUGACUGGCAGGCUAGAGUAUGGCAGAGGGGGGUAGAAUUCCACGUGUAGCAGUGAAAUGCGUAGAGAUGUGGAGGAAUACCGAUGGCGAAGGCAGCCCCCUGGGCCAAUACUGACGCUCAUGCACGAAAGCGUGGGGGAGCAAAACAGGAUUAGAUACCCUGGUAGUCCACGCCCUAAACGAUGUCAACUAGUUGUUGGGGAUUCAUUUCCUUAGUAACGUAGCUAACGCGUGAAGUUGACCGCCUGGGGAGUACGGUCGCAAGAUUAAAACUCAAAGGAAUUGACGGGGUCAUAGCUGUUUCC
This 586-nucleotide ribosomal RNA is filed under the name uncultured bacterium. RNAcentral describes it as "partial 16S ribosomal RNA". It matches the Rfam family "Bacterial small subunit ribosomal RNA", at positions 355 to 937 of the family's 1533-position model. The record is from RNAcentral.